UACGAAGGGGGCUAGCGUUGCUCGGAUUGACUGGGCGUAAAGGGCGCGUAGGCGGUUCGUACAGUCAGACGUGAAAUUCCUGGGCUCAACCUGGGGGCUGCGUUUGAUACGUGCGGACUUGAGUGCGGAAGAGGGUCGUGGAAUUCCCAGUGUAGAGGUGAAAUUCGUAGAUAUUGGGAGGAACACCGGUGGCGAAGGCGGUUCUCUGGGCCUUACCUGACGCUGAGGAGCGAAAGCGUGGGGAGCGAACAGG
This 253-nucleotide ribosomal RNA is filed under the name uncultured bacterium. RNAcentral describes it as "partial 16S ribosomal RNA". It matches the Rfam family "Bacterial small subunit ribosomal RNA", at positions 524 to 776 of the family's 1533-position model. The record is from RNAcentral.